GACGAACGCUGGCGGCGUGCUUAACACAUGCAAGUCGAACGGUGAACCAGAGCUUGCUCUGGGGAUCAGUGGCGAACGGGUGAGUAACACGUGGGCAACCUGCCCCAGACUCUGGGAUAACCUCGGGAAACCGAUGCUAAUACCGGAUACGACCACUUCGGACAUCCGACGGUGGUGGAAAGUUUUUCGGUCUGGGAUGGGCCCGCGGCCUAUCAGCUAGUUGGUGGGGUAAUGGCCUACCAAGGCGACGACGGGUAGCCGGCCUGAGAGGGCGACCGGCCACACUGGAACUGAGACACGGUCCAGACUCCUACGGGAGGCAGCAGUGGGGAAUAUUGCACAAUGGGCGAAAGCUUGAUGCAGCGACGCCGCGUGAGGGACGACGGCCUCGGUUGUAACCGUACUUUCUAGCAGGACGAAGCGAAAGUAGACUGUACCUGCAGAAGAAGACACCGGCUAACUACGUAGCCAGCAGCCGCGGUAAU
RNAcentral lists this ribosomal RNA (485 nucleotides) under uncultured bacterium. RNAcentral describes it as "bacterial SSU rRNA". It matches the Rfam family "Bacterial small subunit ribosomal RNA", at positions 28 to 524 of the family's 1533-position model. The record is from RNAcentral.